Molecule: small RNA, 171 nt
Filed under: Halomonadaceae bacterium
Lineage: Bacteria; Pseudomonadati; Pseudomonadota; Gammaproteobacteria; Oceanospirillales; Halomonadaceae
Description: Manganese sequence
Rfam family: Manganese Mn2+ riboswitch aptamer (yybP-ykoY)
About the family: This RNA was originally discovered in E. coli during a large scale screen and was named SraF. The family was later found to exist upstream of related families of protein genes in many bacteria, including the the yybP and ykoK genes in B. subtilis. The specific functions of these proteins are unknown, but this structured RNA element may be involved in their genetic regulation as a riboswitch.
Source: RNAcentral
CCUUUGGGGAGUAGCCGAUCCUCGACCCUGACAUCGAGGAGGCCUGCAUCAACAAACUCGACACCACCGUGUCGUGGUGCAGGCGACCGACUCCGGUUGGCGAGACCAAGGGUAUGCCGUGUGCUCGAGGUCGGGCGCGCGCGGCAUGCCCCUGGCCAAUCGCCCGACCCG